UGGGGAAUAUUGCACAAUGGGCGCAAGCCUGAUGCAGCCAUGCCGCGUGUAUGAAGAAGGCCUUCGGGUUGUAAAGUACUUUCAGUCGGGAGGAAGGUGGUAAGGUUAAUAACCUUGGCAAUUGACGUUACCGACAGAAGAAGCACCGGCUAACUCCGUGCCAGCAGCCGCGGUAAUACGGAGGGUGCAAGCUUUAAUCGGAAUUACUGGGCGUAAAGCGCACGCAGGCGGUUGAUUGAGUCAGAUGUGAAAUCCCCGGGCUUAACCCGGGAAUUGCAUCUGAGACUGGUCAGCGAGAGUCUAGUAGAGGGGGGUAGAAUUACAUGUGUAGAGGUGAAAUGCGUAGAGAUGUGGAGGAAUAACGGUGGCGAAGGCGGCCCCCUGGACAAAGACUGACGCUCAGGUGCGAAAGCGUGGGGAGCAAACAGG
Molecule: ribosomal RNA, 429 nt
Filed under: Chloroflexota bacterium
Lineage: Bacteria; Bacillati; Chloroflexota
Description: Chloroflexi bacterium partial 16S ribosomal RNA
Rfam family: Bacterial small subunit ribosomal RNA
Source: RNAcentral